CCUAAUUUAUAAUAUUAGUUCUUUUUCAUUAAUUUUUCUGGAUAAGCUCAAAAAAGUAAGAUUUUUUGAUUAAAAUUGCUAUGUGGGCUUAAAAUUGGCCAAAAAGUUUGUUAUAAAAUAGUAGUAUUAACCCUAAAAAUAAAUAUAUUUAAAUCUAAAAUCCUACGGGGAUAAGAACUUUAAUUUUAUGCCUAUGCUAAAAUGAGUAUUAAACCAUUGUAAAGAUUUUCUUCAAAAAAUUAAUUAAUUAGAAGGAAUUCAGCAAAUUUAGUUGCUUCGCCUGUUUAUCAAAAACAUGGCUCUUUGCUUAUAUAAAUAUAAAGAGUCGAGCCUGCCCAGUGUAUUUUAACGGCCGCGGUACUCUGACCGUGCAAAGGUAGCAUAAUCAUUUGCCUUAUAAUUGAAGGCUAGUAUGAAUGGUUUGACGAGAGCAGCACUGUCUCCUUUUUAUUUUCAAGAACUUAACUUUUAGGUGAAGAGGCCUAAAUUUUAUUGAAGGACAAGAAGACCCUGUCGAGCUUAAAAGACAUCAUAGAAGUAUUUAAAUUUUCUAGCUUUUUAGUUGGGGCGACUAAGGAACAAAAAAAGCUUCUUCUUAACAACAGUCAUGUUUAGAUCCGAUGCGAUUGAAGGAAUUAGUUACCGCAGGGAUAACAGCAUAAUCUCUCUUAAGAGACCUAAUCGAAAGAGGGGGUUGUGACCUCGAUGUUGGACUAGAAUAUCCUAAAGAUGCAGAAGUCU
This 741-nucleotide ribosomal RNA is filed under the name Semisulcospira gottschei. Its description in RNAcentral is "partial 16S ribosomal RNA". It matches the Rfam family "Bacterial large subunit ribosomal RNA", at positions 1491 to 2564 of the family's 2925-position model. Lineage: Eukaryota; Metazoa; Mollusca; Gastropoda; Semisulcospiridae. The record is from RNAcentral.